AACAGGUGCUAAUACCGUAUAACACUAUUUUGCGCAUGGAAGAAAGUUGAAAGGCGCUUUUGCGUCACUGAUGGAUGGACCCGCGGUGCAUUAGCUAGUUGGUGAGGUAACGGCUCACCAAGGCAACGAUGCAUAGCCGACCUGAGAGGGUGAUCGGCCACACUGGGACUGAGACACGGCCCAGACUCCUACGGGAGGCAGCAGUAGGGAAUCUUCGGCAAUGGACGAAAGUCUGACCGAGCAACGCCGCGUGAGUGAAGAAGGUUUUCGGAUCGUAAAACUCUGUUGUUAGAGAAGAACAAGGAUGAGAGUAAAAUGUUCAUCCCUUGACGGUAUCUAACCAGAAAGCCACGGCUAACUACGUGCCAGCAGCCGCGGUAAUACGUAGGUGGCAAGCGUUGUCCGGAUUUAUUGGGCGUAAAGCGAGCGCAGGCGGUUUCUUAAGUCUGAUGUGAAAGCCCCCGGCUCAACCGGGGAGGGUCAUUGGAAACUGGGAGACUUGAGUGCAGAAGAGGAGAGUGGAAUUCCAUGUGUAGCGGUGAAAUGCGUAGAUAUAUGGAGGAACACCAGUGGCGAAGGCGGCUCUCUGGUCUGUAACUGACGCUGAGGCUCGAAAGCGUGGGGAGCGAACAGGAUUAGAUACCCUGGUAGUCCACGCCGUAAACGAUGAGUGCUAAGUGUUGGAGGGUUUCCGCCCUUCAGUGCUGCAGCAAACGCAUUAAGCACUCCGCCUGGGGAGUACGACCGCAAGGUUGAAACUCAAAGGAAUUGACGGGGGCCCGCACAAGCGGUGGAGCAUGUGGUUUAAUUCGAAGCAACGCGAAGAACCUUACCAGGUCUUGACAUCCUUUGACCACUCUAGAGAUAGAGCUUCCCCUUCGGGGGCAAAGUGACAGGUGGUGCAUGGUUGUCGUCAGCUCGUGUCGUGAGAUGUUGGGUUAAGUCCCGCAACGAGCGCAACCCUUAUUGUUAGUUGCCAUCAUUUAGUUGGGCACUCUAGCGAGACUGCCGGUGACAAACCGGAGGAAGGUGGGGAUGACGUCAAAUCAUCAUGCCCCUUAUGACCUGGGCUACACACGUGCUACAAUGGGAAGUACAACGAGUUGCGAAGUCGCGAGGCUAAGCUAAUCUCUUAAAGCUUCUCUCAGUUCGGAUUGUAGGCUGCAACUCGCCUACAUGAAGCCGGAAUCGCUAGUAAUCGCGGAUCAGCACGCCGCGGUG
This 1221-nucleotide ribosomal RNA is filed under the name Enterococcus casseliflavus. Its description in RNAcentral is "bacterial SSU rRNA". It matches the Rfam family "Bacterial small subunit ribosomal RNA", at positions 155 to 1364 of the family's 1533-position model. Lineage: Bacteria; Bacillati; Bacillota; Bacilli; Lactobacillales; Enterococcaceae. The record is from RNAcentral.